UACGAAGGGGGGCUAGCGUUGCUCGGAAUGACUGGGCGUAAAGGGCGCGUAGGUGGUUUGUACAGUCAGGUGUGAGAUUCCCGGGCUCAACCUGGGGGCGGCACUUGAGACGUAGGAACUGGAGUGAGGAAGAGGGUCGUGGAAUUCCCAGUGUAGAGGUGAAAUUCGUAGAUAUUGGGAAGAACACCGAUGGUGAGGCAAGCACUCUGGACCGACACUGACGCUGAGGCGCGAAAGCGUGGGGAGCAAACAGG
This 254-nucleotide ribosomal RNA is filed under the name uncultured bacterium. Its description in RNAcentral is "partial 16S ribosomal RNA". It matches the Rfam family "Bacterial small subunit ribosomal RNA", at positions 524 to 776 of the family's 1533-position model. The record is from RNAcentral.